Molecule: long non-coding RNA, 427 nt
Filed under: Danio rerio (zebrafish)
Lineage: Eukaryota; Metazoa; Chordata; Actinopteri; Cypriniformes; Danionidae
Description: lncRNA (ENSDARG00000117679.1)
Source: RNAcentral
AAAAAUUAGAAUAUGAUAUGUAUUUAUAUUAUAAGAAUGAUGAAACUUUUUAUAUAUUUAAUCCACUUUAGUUGAAGAAGCUUCUCAGGUUGAUGAAGAUCAGGAGGACUUGAUGCCGGCAGCAAGCAGUGAACCAUCACAGUUUCCUGAUGAAAUUGAAGAACCCGGCACCAGCUCAGGAAGCAGAGAAGGAAAUGCUGAGCAACAUUUUCUGGAUGAUGAAGAUGAUGAUUCCUCCUACGACGAGGAUCCAGAUUAUAAUCCUUUUGUUUGUUUUUCAGGAUCUCCUCUUGACAAAUAUGAGCUUGGAAGGAAGCUGGGAAAGGGAAUCUAUGGCACUGUCUACGUGGCAACACGCAAAUCUGAUGGAAAAAAGGUAAGUCACUUUUGCUGCACAUGUUGUUUACUUAAUUUUUUCUUCUUGUAA